RNAcentral lists this ribosomal RNA (279 nucleotides) under uncultured bacterium. RNAcentral's name for it is "partial 16S ribosomal RNA". It matches the Rfam family "Bacterial small subunit ribosomal RNA", at positions 75 to 353 of the family's 1533-position model. The record is from RNAcentral.
CUUGCUUUCUUUGCUGGCGACCGGCGCACGGGUGAGUAACACGUAUCCAACCUACCCUUUACUCGGGGAUAGCCUUUCGAAAGAAAGAUUAAUACCCGAUGGCAUAGCUCUUCCGCAUGGUAGAACUAUUAAAGGAUUUCGGUCAUCGAUGGGGAUGCGUUCCAUUAGGUUGUUGGCGGGGUAACGGCCCACCAAGCCUUCGAUGGAUAGGGGUUCUGAGAGGAAGGUCCCCCACAUUGGAACUGAGACACGGUCCAAACUCCUACGGGAGGCAGCAUG